AUUGAACGCUGGAGGUAUGCUUAACACAUGCAAGUCGAACGGUAACGAUGCUAGCUUGCUAGCAGGCGACGAGUGGCGGACGGGUGAGUAACGCGUAGGAAUAUACCUAGUAGUGGGGGAUAGCCCGGGGAAACUCGGAUUAAUACCGCAUAUGUCUUAUGAGAUAAAGAGGGCCUCUUCUUGAAAGCUCUUGCUAUUAGAUUAGCCUGCGUCGGAUUAGCUUGUUGGUGGGGUAAUGGCCUACCAAGGCGACGAUCCGUAGCUGGUCUGAGAGGAUGAUCAGCCACACUGGGACUGAGACACGGCCCAG
RNAcentral lists this ribosomal RNA (310 nucleotides) under uncultured bacterium. Its description in RNAcentral is "bacterial SSU rRNA". It matches the Rfam family "Bacterial small subunit ribosomal RNA", at positions 30 to 334 of the family's 1533-position model. The record is from RNAcentral.